CGGACAUCAGGAGGUUAGUGCAAUGGCAUAAGCCAGCUUGACUGCGAGCGUGACGGCGCGAGCAGGUGCGAAAGCAGGUCAUAGUGAUCCGGUGGUUCUGAAUGGAAGGGCCAUCGCUCAACGGAUAAAAGGUACUCCGGGGAUAACAGGCUGAUACCGCCCAAGAGUUCAUAUCGACGGCGGUGUUUGGCACCUCGAUGUCGGCUCAUCACAUCCUGGGGCUGAAGUAGGUCCCAAGGGUAUGGCUGUUCGCCAUUUAAAGUGGUACGCGAGCUGGGUUUAGAACGUCGUGAGACAGUUCGGUCCCUAUCUGCCGUGGGCGCUGGAGAACUGAGGGGGGCUGCUCCUAGUACGAGAGGACCGGAGUGGACGCAUCACUGGUGUUCGGGUUGUCAUGCCAAUGGCACUGCCCGGUAGCUAAAUGCGGAAGAGAUAAGUGCUGAAAGCAUCUAAGCACGAAACUUGCCCCG
RNAcentral lists this ribosomal RNA (470 nucleotides) under Escherichia coli. RNAcentral's name for it is "partial 23S ribosomal RNA". It matches the Rfam family "Bacterial large subunit ribosomal RNA", at positions 2332 to 2801 of the family's 2925-position model. Lineage: Bacteria; Pseudomonadati; Pseudomonadota; Gammaproteobacteria; Enterobacterales; Enterobacteriaceae. The record is from RNAcentral.